RNAcentral lists this ribosomal RNA (440 nucleotides) under uncultured bacterium. RNAcentral's name for it is "partial 16S ribosomal RNA". It matches the Rfam family "Bacterial small subunit ribosomal RNA", at positions 338 to 795 of the family's 1533-position model. The record is from RNAcentral.
CCUACGGGGGGCAGCAGUAGGGAAUAUUGCUCAAUGGGGGAAACCCUGAAGCAGCAACGCCGCGUGGAGGAUGAAGGUUUUCGGAUUGUAAACUCCUUUUGUUAGAGAAGAUAAUGACGGUAUCUAACGAAUAAGCACCGGCUAACUCCGUGCCAGCAGCCGCGGUAAUACGGAGGGUGCAAGCGGUACUCGGAAUCACUGGGCGUAAAGAGCGCGUAGGCGGGAUAGCAAGUCAGAUGUGAAAUCCUAUGGCUUAACCAUAGAACUGCAUUUGAAACUGUUAUUCUAGAGAAUGGGAGAGGUAGGUGGUAUUCUUGGUGUAGGGGUAAAAUCCGUAGAGAUCAAGAGGAAUACUCAUUGCGAAGGCGACCUGCUAGAACAUAACUGACGCUGAUGCGCGAAAGCGUGGGGAGCAAACAGGAUUAGAUACCCCAGUAGUC